Molecule: ribosomal RNA, 208 nt
Filed under: uncultured Latescibacterota bacterium
Lineage: Bacteria; Pseudomonadati; Candidatus Latescibacterota
Description: uncultured Latescibacteria bacterium partial 16S ribosomal RNA
Rfam family: Bacterial small subunit ribosomal RNA
Source: RNAcentral
CGUGUAGGCGGUCAGGUAAGUGGAAUGUGAAAUGCCCCGGCUCACCCGGGGACCGGCAUCCCAAACUGCCUGGCUUGAGUAUGGGAGAGGAUGGAGGAAUUCCUGGUGUAGCGGUGAAAUGCGUAGAUAUCAGGAGGAGCACCGGUGGCGAAGGCGUCCAUCUGGCCCAAUACUGACGCUGAGGCGCGAAAGCUAGGGGAGCAAACGG